Molecule: long non-coding RNA, 987 nt
Filed under: Homo sapiens (human)
Lineage: Eukaryota; Metazoa; Chordata; Mammalia; Primates; Hominidae
Description: HSALNT0338361
Source: RNAcentral
ACGUGAUUUGAAAAACAUUUGUAAAGCUGAAUUAGAGCCCUCAAAUUUUAUUUUUCUAGGAAAGGACAAAUAAUUAAACAACAUCUUUGGAGUUUGCUGUGACUUCUGUACAUCUAACAAGCUGUACUUUCACAGAAGCUUUCUGGAGGUUGCACAGUUAUUAAAACCAGUUAGGGGCCUUAUCUUUUGGGAAACAAAAACUUACAUUCCUUAGAGCCAAGGAGAUGCCCCGACUAAGAACACAUCUGCGGCACUAAUUUCAUCAGCGUUUCUGUCUUCAGGAAUUCAAGGUCUAAUUUUGCUUAUCUAACAACAGUCCAGUUGGGGGAAAUGAAAGGGUCCAUUGAUCACUCUGUUGGGUGAGAGAACAGGAUGACCCAUGCUGAAGGAUGUCACACUAUCACACUGAGUUUGCAGGCAGCGAGAGACCACUGAGGUCACUCCCGUCUCGGGAUGGCAUCUUGGCAGAUGAGCUGAUGGAUUAAAAAGCUGAGAUAUUUGGGGAAGAAAGAUAUUCACUCUCAAAAAUGUUGUUUCUGAGGAUCCUGUUUUCUAGAGAAAAUGUUACAAACUCAAAUUGUUGCAGGGACCAAACAGGUAACAUCAGUGUGGAUAAAGUGGGCCAGAAAUAACAAAAGGGAGUGAAGGGUCAGAGUGAACCAUCAGAGAGGACCAGGCCUUCCUUGAAAAGAUGUGGGGGAUGGGAUGCUGCAAUUCAAUUCAAGCAGAAUGUGUCUUUGUGUUAUUAGCUAUUACCAUUUAUAUUCAAAGAAAGACAUAUAUACAUUUUAUGUGAAAUCUAUAAGUGCUUAAAUGUUGACAAUUUUUUAAAAAUAUACAUGAGUCAAACAAAAGAUAUCCAUACGUCCUCAAUUGGCUAUUUCAUGUUGUGGGUCAUUUUCUUGUGGGAAAUCAUUGAUGAAUUGUUCAAAAAUUAAUCACCAUUAGCUUUUGUCUUGAACAAAUGUAUUUAUAAAAAUUACAUGG